UACACUCCUGCGGGAGGCAGCAGUGGGGAAUUUUGGACAAUGGGCGAAAGCCUGAUCCAGCAAUGCCGCGUGAGUGAAGAAGGCCUUCGGGUUGUAAAGCUCUUUUGUCAGGGAAGAAACGGUGAAAGCUAAUAUCUUUUGCUAAUGACGGUACCUGAAGAAUAAGCACCGGCUAACUACGUGCCAGCAGCCGCGGUAAUACGUAGGGUGCAAGCGUUAAUCGGAAUUACUGGGCGUAAAGCGUGCGCAGGCGGUUUUGUAAGUCUGAUGUGAAAUCCCCGGGCUCAACCUGGGAAUUGCAUUGGAGACUGCAAGGCUAGAAUCUGGCAGAGGGGGGUAGAAUUCCACGUGUAGCAGUGAAAUGCGUAGAUAUGUGGAGGAACACCGAUGGCGAAGGCAGCCCCCUGGGUCAAGAUUGACGCUCAUGCACGAAAGCGUGGGGAGCAAACAGGAUUAGAUACCCCUGUAGUCCCA
RNAcentral lists this ribosomal RNA (474 nucleotides) under uncultured organism. RNAcentral's name for it is "partial 16S ribosomal RNA". It matches the Rfam family "Bacterial small subunit ribosomal RNA", at positions 332 to 797 of the family's 1533-position model. The record is from RNAcentral.